AACGAACGCUGGCGGCAGGCUUAACACAUGCAAGUCGAGCGCACCGCAAGGUGAGCGGCAGACGGGUGAGUAACGCGUGGGAAUCUACCCAACCCUACGGAAUAACCCAGGGAAACUUGGACUAAUACCGUAUACGCCCUUUUGGGGAAAGAUUUAUCGGGGAUGGAUGAGCCCGCGUUGGAUUAGCUAGUUGGUGGGGUAAAGGCCUACCAAGGCGACGAUCCAUAGCUGGUCUGAGAGGAUGAUCAGCCACAUUGGGACUGAGACACGGCCCAAACUCCUACGGGAGGAGGCAGUGGGGAUUAUUGGACAUUGGGCGAAAGCCUGAUCCGGCCUGGCGGGGUGAGUGAUGAAGGCCUUGGGUUUGUAAGGCUCUUCAGUAGGGAAGAUAAUGACGGUACCUACAGAAGAAGCCCCGGCUAACUUCGUG
This 430-nucleotide ribosomal RNA is filed under the name uncultured bacterium. RNAcentral describes it as "partial 16S ribosomal RNA". It matches the Rfam family "Bacterial small subunit ribosomal RNA", at positions 29 to 507 of the family's 1533-position model. The record is from RNAcentral.